Molecule: microRNA precursor, 62 nt
Filed under: Caenorhabditis brenneri
Lineage: Eukaryota; Metazoa; Nematoda; Chromadorea; Rhabditida; Rhabditidae
Description: microRNA cbn-mir-57 precursor (cbn-mir-57-1, cbn-mir-57-2)
Gene: cbn-mir-57-1
Rfam family: mir-57 microRNA precursor family
Source: miRBase by way of RNAcentral
UACCCUGUAGAUAGAGCUGUGUGUUUGGAAUAUACCGUACACAAGCUAGACUACAAGGUGAA